Molecule: long non-coding RNA, 2616 nt
Organism: Canis lupus familiaris (dog)
Lineage: Eukaryota; Metazoa; Chordata; Mammalia; Carnivora; Canidae
Exons: 4
Source: RefSeq, a predicted model, not a curated record
ACAUAAUAUAAAAAGAACAUAGGCUCUGGAGUUCCAUAGGCCUGAAUUUGAUUUUCAGCUUGACCACUUCUUGGCUGGUAUGAUCUUAGGGUUGGGUUUCAUGCAAGGAGCCGGCAGCUGCUGCCAGUUUGUUACCCUAUCUUCAUGAUCCCCAGAUUUACAUUUGAAGAAGAUAACUUUUGAUUCUAUGUGGUGAACGAAUUGGCAAAAAUAGCUACAGAAAGGCCAGUUAGGAGGCUGUUGUAGAAGUCCAGGCGAGGUCACACGGAGAAGGCAACCAUCUGCUAACUAGGAAAAGAACUUUUGCUGGAGCCCAAGCAUGCUGGCACUGUGAUCUUGACCUUCAGCCUCCAGAACUGUGGGAAAAUACAUUUCUGUUGCUUAACCCAUCCCAUCUAUCUGGUAUUUCACUGUGGGAUCCCAAGUAGACUGAUACAGAAGGCCUCUCCAACAAGAUGGCAUUUGAGCAGAGACCUGAAGAAGUAACAGAGCAGGUCAUACAGACACUUAGGAAGUAUAUUCUAGGAAAAUGGACUAACAAGUGCAAAGGCCCAGAGUACAUCUCCAUCCUUCUCUAAGACUGCUUGCAUUUCCCAAGUACCUGUGAAUCUUCUGACUCAAAGGCAGUGGCCAGUGGAAGGCCGUGUGUGGUAGGCUGCUUCAUUUGUUGACAAUUAUGUGGUUCCCCUGUGUUUGCCAUGCUUCUCUGCAGGUGACAUCCCACCCGCUGGCUUUGGGCUGGGCCAUGGGACUUACUUUGAUAGGUGUCACAUGAGCAGACAUGUCAGAGUUAAGAUUUAGAUGUACUGGCAUAGCUUGGCUUUGUCCCCUUCGGAGUCGUUCUCUACUGUGAGAACAGCUUGCCUUAGAAAGUGGCUGCUCCUCCCUCAUGAGCUACUGAAUGAGAAGCCAAGUGGGAAACCAGUGGAGUCCAGUCCGCAAGAAAGAAAUGUUUAUAGUUGUAAACCACCGAGAUUUGGGGCUUCUUUGUUGUUGCAGCAAAAUCUGACCAAAAAGAUCAGAUUCUGUGCUAACUAAGCACUUUCAAAUAUUAUUUCAUUUCAUUUUCACACCAGUACUUCCCUGUGUAGUGGGUAUUCUCACCCAGUUUUGUAGGUGAGGAAAUGGAGGCCCAGAAAAUUCAAGCACCUUGUCCAGGAUUAUACAACUGACAAGAAGCAACACUCUAAUGUAGAUCCAACUGACUUCCUUCCACAUGUCAUGUGCCACUUUCUUUUACAUGUGUUCUGCAGGGAGAGAGUAAUGGACACUGAAGUUGCUAAGAUACCCCACCCCCACCCCCAUGAGUAAGGCUGGACUUCUUUCUCCCUCUCAAGCCCUGUUGACUCUUUUCCUUUCUUCUUCCUUUCCUCUCCCACAACUACCCCUCCACUCCACACCUACUGCUGAAAUGCGCUCUGUCUCUCAUUUUCUUCCAAAUGGCUAUAAGCAACUACCUUUUUUUGUGAAAUCUUUUCAAAUAACAAGAGAAAGUUUGGUCUUUCUUGUCUUUAUUAUUUCCAAACAUAUAUGAAAAUCUCUUGGCUAUUUAUUCCCCAUUCUUUGUUCCCAAAUGCAUGUUGUUGUUGUUGUUGUUGUUUUUUGUCUUUGUCCUAUAAAUAUAUAUACUGCCAUAUUUGGUGAGCAACUACCAUGUGGCAGCCACUGUGCUGGGGCUGGAGAGUGACAGGUAAGAUAUUUUGCUGGAAGAGUUUAAAACCUAGUGGGAGAUAGCGUGUAAACAGAUCAUGUUAUUAAAAGUGCUAAGUGCUAUAAAAUUAGUAAGUACAGUGUUGUGGUCACACAGAGGAAGGCUCAGUGCUCAGUUUGGAAAGAAUGAUUAAGAAGGUUUUUGGGGAAGAUAACACCUAGGCUGAGUUUUGAAGGAUGAGUGGAAGACAGCCAGAUGCAGGGGCAGGGAAGGGAAUAGCACAGCAAAGAUGUUGAGGCAAUAACUACAGGUGUCCUUGGAGAACCACAAGGAGUUGGGUUUUACUGAAGUCUAAAUUAUAAGUGAGGUUUGCAAGGGGCUGUGAGAGGUGGAAAGUAGUGGCUGGAGAAGAAGAACAGAUGUGCUACCUGAUGACCUGGUGAAUAAUUCAGCAGGAUAAAAUGCCAACAAAGUCAGAGCCUAAGACCACACCUUGGUACUUGUAGAUACGGUACUGCUUCAGUUAGAACAGCAAUGCUGGUGCAGACUUAUUGACAGUGUGUUUCUGAAGCUCUCAGUCUCCUGACACCUUUUUGCCUAUUGCUUCCUGUGUGUUCCCACCCUGACUGAGCAGCUUCUCAAAAAGCCUUCCUUUGCCCCAGGAGUCAAGGUUAAAGCAUUCCUCUUUCCAGGCAUCUCUGCCUCCUAACAACAGAUUGACAGUACUCGCAACACCAACAAGUAUUUCCUGACACUUUAUGUGCCAGGCUCUGUACUAAAUCCUGUAAGUGCAAACAUGACAUCAUUCAAUCCUUAGUUAUCCUUGCUUUAGCAAUGGGAGACCGGGAUCCCUGGGUGGCGCAGCAGUUUAGCGCCUGCCUUUGGCCCAGGGCGCGAUCCUCGAGACCCUGGAUCGAAUCCCACGUCGGGCUCCCUACAUGGAGCCUGCUUCUCCCUCUGCCUGU